UUGUGGAGGAGGACGCCGAAGGUGGGGCUGAUGACUGGGGUGAAGUCGUAACAAGGUAGCCGUACCGGAAGGUGCGGCUGGAUCACCUCCUAACAGGGAGACAAAAACUGAUUGUGAUGUCUGAGUAAAAUUCUUAGGCCAUAAUCCUGUCACCUUAGGUCGAUCGGUACCUCAGAUUGAUUACCAAAGUUUGGUAAUCAAUUUUAGUUCCUAAAUUUUGUCUAGGUCACACUCAACAAUGGUUCUUCUGGGCCAUUAGCUCAGGUGGUUAGAGCGCACCCCUGAUAAGGGUGAGGUCCCUGGUUCAAGUCCAGGAUGGCCCAUUCGGCGUUGGGGGUAUAGCUCAGUUGGUAGAGCGCCUGCUUUGCAAGCAGGAUGUCAGCGGUUCGAGUCCGCUUACCUCCACUGAUUAACCACAAAAUAUCCCCACGAUAUAGACACUGAAUUUGUUGAAUGUGAUUUGGAUUUGUUUUCUGAGAUGACCCUAGCUUUCUAUCAUUCCUUUAACUAAAAGAACUUUUAGAUUUGGUUGAUAACAAGCUGGGCUCUCUUUGAUUCGAAAGAAUCUUAGUGAUCUUCAGUAGAACCUUGACAACUGCAUAGAUAAGUCUGGAAAGAAUAAAGCAUCUCAUGGAUGCAUUAUCUUAAAUUUUUGAUUAAUUUCAACGUUAAGGUAAAUGUUUAAUUCUUGAGCAAGAGUCGAGACUCUAGGUGAUUAUUCAAUGAAAAUUGAACCUUAAAAUGCAAAAUAAAUUAUAUAUUUAGGCAGCAUUUUAAGGUGUUAAUACAUAAUCAAUCUAGAGGAUUAAUGGUCAAGCUACAA
This 823-nucleotide unclassified non-coding RNA is filed under the name uncultured Prochlorococcus sp. RNAcentral describes it as "partial 16S-23S ribosomal RNA intergenic spacer; may also contain 16S ribosomal RNA and 23S ribosomal RNA". The stretch from base 1 to 93 matches the Rfam family "Bacterial small subunit ribosomal RNA", at positions 1441 to 1533 of the family's 1533-position model. Lineage: Bacteria; Bacillati; Cyanobacteriota; Cyanophyceae; Synechococcales; Prochlorococcaceae. The record is from RNAcentral.